GGGGCGGUAGCUCAACUGGGAGAGCGCGGCGUUCGCAAUGCCGAGGUUGGGAGUUCGAUCCUCCUCCGCUCCAC
Molecule: transfer RNA, 74 nt
Filed under: Planctomycetia bacterium
Lineage: Bacteria; Pseudomonadati; Planctomycetota; Planctomycetia
Description: tRNA-Ala
Rfam family: tRNA
About the family: Transfer RNA (tRNA) molecules are approximately 80 nucleotides in length.
Source: RNAcentral